Molecule: long non-coding RNA, 1285 nt
Organism: Daphnia magna
Lineage: Eukaryota; Metazoa; Arthropoda; Branchiopoda; Diplostraca; Daphniidae
Exons: 4
Source: RefSeq, a predicted model, not a curated record
GUAUUAGUAUGGUGGAGGAACUUACUAUUUAAGAGCCUAUCUCGAAUGAAGCCAGUUUCCGUACCAGGGGGAGGAGCUUAGUGCCUAAGGCAAAAUUCUAAACAGCCAAUUGCAGGGCUCGUCGCCGUUUCUUUGCUGCCCCCUAUGAACCAAAAUACUAAUUUCUUUUAAAAUUCGAAAUUUCGGUUAACGUUUGUUCGAAGACGGCCAUUUUAUGUUGAAAUGUACACUACUCUUCCCACAGAGUGUACGAAGAGUUCACAACCUAUAACUGAAUCGCUUUGCACAAAUGCUCUCUCAGAUUCUGGUUUCAGGCAAGUGAAGACCUUUGACGUCUUGCUGAUGGAUUCUACUCCUGUGCCUAUCACUACUGCCCUCCCUGUUAUUUUAACACACUUUACAGUGAUUUCAUCUGUUGUUAUAAUUCAUUUCCUUAAAUUAGAUCCUGGGUCCAGCCAAGUGACGACUCUUUGGCCUUUGAUGACUCCCUUUUGGAUUCUGCUCUUGUGCCUAUCACUACUGCUCUCCAUGAUCCUGGGUCAAGCCAAGUGAUGUUUGAAGACGAUUUUCCGAUCGAUUCUUCCCUUGACCCUGAUGAUCUCAUAGAUACUGCAUCCGGCCAAGAGCCGCUCGGUGCAUGGACUACUUUAUAUUAAGGACUGGACUCAGUCCAAUCUCGCCGUGUUAAUGCCUGUCCGGUAGGCUUUUUUACAGCAAAAUAAUUAAAAAAUACCAUUAUAUUGAGUUUUUAAAGACGAAUUCAGCUACAUUGUAAUUUUUAAUGUAAACUUAGGGGGAAAAAAGAUAUUAACGUUUAUUUUAUCGGAGUAGGGGAAGAAAGUCGACUUGACUCAUACGCCAUCUACCCGCCAAACGGCCUAAGUUUUUACUUAGUGUUGUGAGUGUGUUUGAAGGCUGGAAGUGAAGUUAAAUAUUGUAAACAAAGUGACUUAGACAUUCGCAAUUCCGUGUUUUUUUAAAUUAUAUGUUUCCAUUGGUCAUCAUUGUAUUGAUAUAUAAAUGUUGGUGGACGUGUAUUGGCAUUUGCUGCGAGAAGUGUCGAUUCGUGAAACUGAAAGCUGAAGAAUUACGGAAGUUUCUUUAUGUGCUGCAAUUGUGUAUGUAAUUCCAAACACACCUACGGUUAUUUAAAGGUAACCUAUUAGGUGACUGCAGUUGUAUUCCUUGACAGGAAUAUUCAAGAUCCGACAAUGGUAAUGCCAUAUUACCCCACGCAGGUGAACAAAGGAACAUUGUCAACCUCAUAGUGGGUUAGAGAUAAACA